UGCCUGCAUCACAUUCUGUCCUUCCCAACAGGGAAUCCCACCACAUUUGCCAAUUAGCGCUCUAAUCCUGUUUGUGUGUCUCUGCUGCUCUGUGCCCUGGACCCCAUUCAUUAGAAUGUCAUUCAUUAGGGAUCAGAGAUUCUGAGGACACAGAGCCCAGCAUCAUUAGUACUAAUUGAAGCCUGGAUUCCUAACCUGCUGCAGAA
Molecule: long non-coding RNA, 206 nt
Filed under: Homo sapiens (human)
Lineage: Eukaryota; Metazoa; Chordata; Mammalia; Primates; Hominidae
Description: non-protein coding lnc-CCT5-24:1
Source: RNAcentral